This 759-nucleotide ribosomal RNA is filed under the name Shigella sonnei. RNAcentral describes it as "partial 23S ribosomal RNA". It matches the Rfam family "Bacterial large subunit ribosomal RNA", at positions 139 to 938 of the family's 2925-position model. The record is from RNAcentral. Lineage: Bacteria; Pseudomonadati; Pseudomonadota; Gammaproteobacteria; Enterobacterales; Enterobacteriaceae.
UUCGUCACACUAUCAUUAACUGAAUCCAUAGGUUAAUGAGGCGAACCGGGGGAACUGAAACAUCUAAGUACCCCGAGGAAAAGAAAUCAACCGAGAUUCCCCCAGUAGCGGCGAGCGGACGGGGAGCAGCCCAGAGCCUGAAUCAGUGUGUGUGUUAGUGGAAGCGUCUGGAAAGGCGUGCGAUACAGGGUGACAGCCCCGUACACAAAAAUGCACAUAUUGUGAGCUUGAUGAGUAGGGCGGGACACGUGGUAUCCUGUCUGAAUAUGGGGGGACCAUCCUCCAAGGCUAAAUACUCCUGACUGACCGAUAGUGAACCAGUACCGUGAGGGAAAGGCGAAAAGAACCCCGGCGAGGGGAGUGAAAAAGAACCUGAAACCGUGUACGUACAAGCAGUGGGAGCACGCUUAGGCGUGUGACUGCGUACCUUUUGUAUAAUGGGUCAGCGACUUAUAUUCUGUAGCAAGGUUAACCGAAUAGGGGAGCCGAAGGGAAACCGAGUCUUAACUGGGCGUUAAGUUGCAGGGUAUAGACCCGAAACCCGGUGAUCUAGCCAUGGGCAGGUUGAAGGUUGGGUAACACUAACUGGAGGACCGAACCGACUAAUGUUGAAAAAUUAGCGGAUGACUUGUGGCUGGGGGUGAAAGGCCAAUCAAACCGGGAGAUAGCUGGUUCUCCCCGAAAGCUAUUUAGGUAGCGCCUCGUGAAUUCAUCUCCGGGGGUAGAGCACUGUUUCGGCAAGGGGGUCAUCCCGACUUA